GAAUGUGAGAUCAACUCAGUUACAGUACCUACCACCCCAUUGGUCAUCAGGGUUGAGCUGGAUGAUCUAGCUGGCUAGGCAGAUGUCCCCUUCCUCCCUCAGUGCUUCAUGUACACCUCAUCAGAAGCUAUAUGCUUUGUAUCAGAGAACAGCCUUCCUGGAAAAAGGAAGGACGUUCCUGGGUCAAGAGUUACAGAGCAGUUGUCCUUUGCCAGAAUCUCAGGAUAAACUCUGACAAAGCAAUGAUGAAAAUGUUGGAAGUGAACAAGAAAAAGAAUAUGAACAGAGUUAGGAAGUGGGUUAUCA
Molecule: small nuclear RNA, 306 nt
Filed under: Peromyscus maniculatus bairdii (prairie deer mouse)
Lineage: Eukaryota; Metazoa; Chordata; Mammalia; Rodentia; Cricetidae
Description: 7SK RNA (ENSPEMG00000002495.2)
Rfam family: 7SK RNA
About the family: 7SK was discovered as an abundant small nuclear RNA in the mid-70s but a possible function has only recently been suggested. Two independent studies have found that 7SK RNA binds the CDK9/cyclin T complex (known as elongation factor P-TEFb). P-TEFb activates transcription by phosphorylating the C-terminal domain of RNA polymerase II.
Source: RNAcentral